RNAcentral lists this ribosomal RNA (452 nucleotides) under uncultured Chitinophagaceae bacterium. RNAcentral's name for it is "bacterial SSU rRNA". It matches the Rfam family "Bacterial small subunit ribosomal RNA", at positions 342 to 791 of the family's 1533-position model. Lineage: Bacteria; Pseudomonadati; Bacteroidota; Chitinophagia; Chitinophagales; Chitinophagaceae. The record is from RNAcentral.
CGGGGGGCAGCAGUAAGGAAUAUUGGUCAAUGGACGAAAGUCUGAACCAGCCAUGCCGCGUGAAGGAUGAAGGCCCUCUGGGUUGUAAACUUCUUUUAUCUGGGACGAAAAAAGCUCUUUCUAGAGCACUUGACGGUACCAGAGGAAUAAGCACCGGCUAACUCCGUGCCAGCAGCCGCGGUAAUACGGAGGGUGCAAGCGUUAUCCGGAUUUACUGGGUUUAAAGGGAGCGUAGGUGGGUUGGUAAGUCAGUGGUGAAAUCUUCGAGCUUAACUCGGAAACUGCCAUUGAUACUAUCAAUCUUGAAUUAUCUGGAGGUAAGCGGAAUAUGUCAUGUAGCGGUGAAAUGCUUAGAUAUGACAUAGAACACCAAUUGCGAAGGCAGCUUACUACGGAUAUAUUGACACUGAGGCUCGAAAGCGUGGGGAUCAAACAGGAUUAGAUACCCGCGU